RNAcentral lists this non-coding RNA (29 nucleotides) under Homo sapiens (human). The record is from RNAcentral. Lineage: Eukaryota; Metazoa; Chordata; Mammalia; Primates; Hominidae.
UGCUGGGACUGGUAGCAUGAAUGCUGUGU